UAACAGUGUGUGUCUGUGAAUAUCAAAUUUAAAACUUAUAAAUAGCCAGUAUUUCAGGAAAACUCUUUAUAAGUAAGCAACAUGAU
This is a long non-coding RNA of Drosophila ananassae, 86 nucleotides long. RefSeq lists it as uncharacterized. NCBI's taxonomy places the organism in Eukaryota, Metazoa, Arthropoda, Insecta, Diptera, Drosophilidae. The transcript has 3 exons. The record is from RefSeq and is a predicted model, not a curated record.